RNAcentral lists this transfer RNA (74 nucleotides) under Vibrio phage pVp-1. It matches the Rfam family "tRNA". Rfam says of the family: Transfer RNA (tRNA) molecules are approximately 80 nucleotides in length. RNAcentral also lists the same sequence under 1 other name. The record is from Rfam by way of RNAcentral. Lineage: Duplodnaviria; Heunggongvirae; Uroviricota; Caudoviricetes; Demerecviridae.
GCAGGAUUAGCUCAGUAGAGUAGAGCACUUCCCUUACAAGGAAGGGGUCGUAGGUUCAAGUCCUACAUCCUGUA